AGGCUGGGACGUUCCACGGGUUCACUUCCUGGUUCAAAGUUCAGUUCCAGAGCCUGGAGAGAGACCAAACCACAUUGGAGUUAGACACUGGGCCCUACUCUGAGCCAACCCACUGGAAGCAGACUCUGUUCAUGCUGGACGGGCCGAUCUCGCUGCUCGGUGGAGAGACGGUGUCUGGAAUCAUCCUUCUACACCGGAACCCCGUCUGGAGACGUCACAUGACUGUUACCAUCCAAUGGAGAAUCAGCAUCACAGAGGAAACAGGAAACUGCAUGGUCCAGACAAAGAGUUUCCCUAUGUGGAGAUGAUGACAUCAUAGGCUGUCAUUGAAGGAUAUAGCAGCCAGACCUCUCUGAUAUUAGCCUUGUCCCAGAUCUGUUUGUGGCUUUGCCUACUCCAUUGUCAUUGUCAAGCCAAACAUGACAAUUCCAUAAGGAGUGUUGUGGAAAUUACCACCAGGGACUCCAAGUCAAACUUAAAUGAUCAUACUUUAUUAUCAGCAAGCUGGAAAGGUUCCAACAAACAUAAUGCACCAAGUAGUACACGUCUGUCAGGAGCUCUGUCAGAGAAGUCCUGUUAGUUCUCUUAUAUACUGCUUUUGCAGACAAGUUAUAUUUGCAUGAUUUACAUUAUUAAAUAUUUGAAUUCAU
Oncorhynchus nerka (sockeye salmon) is the source of this 650-nucleotide long non-coding RNA. RefSeq lists it as uncharacterized. The record is from RefSeq and is a predicted model, not a curated record. The transcript has 3 exons. NCBI's taxonomy places the organism in Eukaryota, Metazoa, Chordata, Actinopteri, Salmoniformes, Salmonidae.